This 70-nucleotide transfer RNA is filed under the name Halyomorpha halys (brown marmorated stink bug). RNAcentral's name for it is "tRNA-Asn". The record is from RNAcentral. Lineage: Eukaryota; Metazoa; Arthropoda; Insecta; Hemiptera; Pentatomidae.
UUAAUUGAAGCCAAAGUUGAGGCCUUUCAUUGUUAAUGAAAAAAUUGAUUAUUAUAAUAAUCCAAUUAAA